Long non-coding RNA from Monopterus albus (swamp eel), 187 nucleotides. RefSeq lists it as uncharacterized. The transcript is spliced from 3 exons. NCBI's taxonomy places the organism in Eukaryota, Metazoa, Chordata, Actinopteri, Synbranchiformes, Synbranchidae. The record is from RefSeq and is a predicted model, not a curated record.
UGGUUUGAUUCAUCUGAUUCUGGAAAGGAACUGAAGUUAUCAGACUCGAGUUCACUGUGGAGGCUGACACCGACACCCUGAUCUUUUGCCACGGAGGAAGCGAUCAUGGAGCAAACAUGGAGCAGAGGCUGAGCUCAGGCGGAUGUGUCAAACAGCUUCUCGAUCAUCUCCUCCACAUCCUCCGGCC